AAAAUCCGUCGGCUUUA
This 17-nucleotide transfer RNA is filed under the name Geum triflorum. Its description in RNAcentral is "partial transfer RNA-leu (UAA)". Lineage: Eukaryota; Viridiplantae; Streptophyta; Magnoliopsida; Rosales; Rosaceae. The record is from RNAcentral.